CUGCUCCGGGGUGACGCACGCGGACCGCGCUGCACCCAGGCGCUCGCCACCACCCCACCCCCCCCACGCCCACCCCGGGCGCGAGCGCGUCGAGCCCGGCCAGCAGGGCGCCUCCCGGGCCUGCAGGGGUCCGCCCGCCACCCCGCCUCGGCACGCACGCGCCGCGAAGCCGCCGGGGCCCCGGAACCGCCGCCUCCCUCGCCCAGGGGCGCGCCCCCUCCCCAGGAGGCCCGUCCGCGGGGCGCCGUCCACUCCACCCCGGGGGCUGCGGAGGCGCCCCGCUGCCACUCGGCGGCGCCUGUCGGGCUGCACGCCGCGCCGUCCCAGGGCAGGGAACACCCCGCCCUCGCACGGCCCCGGCUUCCCCGCGGCCUCUUGACACCGAGGCCUCUUCACGCGCGGCGCCGACCCGGGGCCGCCGGGUUCGCGACGGGCCUGCCAAUCAGAGGCGCUUUCCUCAGAGCGGCCAACCGACCAAUCACCGCGCGCCAGUGUCUUCGGCCCUUCGGCCCUUCGGCCCUUCGGCUCUUCGGCUCUUCGGCCCCUCGGCCCCUCGGCCCUUCGGCUCUUCGGCGCUCGCGGGGGCUGCGCCGGCCCUCCGCGGCCUUCCGCCGCGCUCUCUACAGCUCCCUCCGCUCGUCCGCGUUUAAUUUCCCCUUUUUCCUCAGACACUUCCGGGUCCGGCGUCGCUCCGGAAGCCCGCGCGUCCCGGAAGCCUGGGUAAUCCCGGUUCUGCUCGGAGAGGCCGAGCUUCCCGGAGAAUGUUUCAGAGAAAGUUACGUGGGCCGGGGGCGUUCCGCAGACUCGUCAGACACAUGAGAGAACUCGAAGAUGUAGAGUUGCAAUUUGGAAGCAGCCACAAUCCCUGAAUCACUGCUGGUGGAGAAGAACCAUGAAAAGAUGUCUAAUCUACUUGUCCUGUGACAUAAUUAAGAAAGAAGACUUUGCUGCAUUAAAACCAUGACAUUUUUGUGUUUUAUUGGUAUUGACAGAUUUUGCUUUCAGGAUUAUACUCCAGAAUCAUUAAUUAGGAAAAUUGUCUCUAUCCCUACCCAGACUAAGUUACCUGCAUCUUCCCGGGGGUUCCCAAAUUGUGAUUUUCAUUCUGUCAUAGCAAUAAAACGUAUCUGGUGAUAUGUCUACCCCUUCUUUCUUAAUGAUCAAUUGUGCUCUCUUUCAGGGCAAGAUCUAUCUCUGCUCUAUCAUCUAGGUUUGUUGUAUAAAUUAAUCAGUUAAUGUAUGAAUAGUAUCCCGAGCUGUACCCAUACAGAGUGAGUGCUCAAUAAAAAAAUAAAUAAAUAAGUCACCAUUAUUGUUGCCAUUAAUAGUGUUAUUAUGGUUAUUUCCUCAACACCGAUCAUGAUGUCUGGCUCAUACUGAGUGCUCAAUACAAGUAAGAAUGAAACAGUGUAUGAUGUAAUCCUUGCCUAUAUAAAAUUGAACUAAUGCUUCCUCUACUUCACAGGGUUGCUGUAAGGAAUGCAGUUAACUGUUUAUUGUUAAACACAACACGUGUAAGUUAUUUUUAUUCUAAUCUAUGCAAACAGAAGUGGCAUUUUACUUAUUCCUCUUCAUUUAACUCUUUUCUUUCAGAAAGACUUAGUCUUUAGCCAUAACAGUUUCUAGUGUAUUAAACUUUGGGAUUUUGUUGCAAAAGAGAUGUAAUACUAAAAUAAAGAUCACUGAGGCUUAAUUAACUAUGAACCUUUUUUUCCAACUUUUCAGUUUCUAAGAAAAUUUAAAUAAUCUUAAAUAAAUUCUUAGAGGGAUCUAUACAAUAUCUAUAUUACAACUACUCAGAAACUAUACAUACAUUAUGCAUCACAAAUGUCAUAGUCAGCUAGAGAAACCUAGAGAAGCUGGUAUUUAUAAAAUAUGGCAAUAAAGACAAAAGAUGGUAGCACAUUUUACUAGUUUCCUGUUGGCUGCUGUAACAAAUUACCACAAACUCGGCGACUCAAAACAAUACAGAUGUAUUCUCCUAUACGUCUGGAUGUCAGAAGUCUGACACAGGUCUCAACUGGGCUACAAUCAAAGUCUGACAGGACUGAACUCCUUUCUGGCAGCUCUAGGAAGGAAGCUUUUUCCUUGCCUUUCUCAGCUUCUAGGGGCCACUCACAUCCCUUUGUUUGCAGCCUCCUCCUCACACAACACUUUCCUAUUGGUUCUGUCACCGAUAGAUCUACUGAUCCUCCUAUCUCCCUCUUAUACAGAUCCAUACAUUAGGUCCAGCCAGAUAAUUCAGGUCAAUCUCUCAAUUGCAAAAUCUUUAAUCACAUUCUCAAAGUCCACUUUACCAUGUAAGGCAUCAUCCUUACAGGUUCUAAGGAUUAGGAUGUGGGCAUCCCUACCACACUCUUGAGCCUAUCAUACAAUCUAAAUUUUUGUACAUUUGAUAUUUAUUAAGUGUAAAUGUAAACUUUAGAGCAGAACAAUGGAAGAAAAUAGGAGUAGUGGACUCUUGAACAACAGGAGGGGUUAGGACACCACGCUCCUACAGAAUUGAGAACCUGCAUAUGACUUUUGACUCCCUCCAAGCUUAACUACUAAUAGUCCUCUGUUGACUGGAUACCUUACCGAUAAUAUAAAGUCAAUUAACAUAUAUUUUAUAUGUUAUAUGUGUUAUAUACUGUAUUCUAACAACAAAGUAAGCUGGAGAAAAGAAAAUGCUAUUAAGAAAAUCAUAAGGAAGGGAAAAAUCUGUGUAUAAGUGGACUUACACAGUUCAAACCCAUGUUGCUCAAGGGUCAACUAUAAAUACAGUUUUCAAGUUUUCAUUAAACAGUUGUUUUGUAUAUUUAAAGUGGUUUCCAGGGAUCCCUGGGUGGCACAGUGGUUUGGCGCCUGCCUUUGGCCCAGGGCGCGAUCCUGGAGACCCGGAUCGAAUCCCACGUCGGGCUCCCAGUGCAUGGAGCCUGCUUCUCCCUCUGCCUGUGUCUCUGCCUCUCUCUCUCUCUGUGACUAUCAUAAAUAAAUAAAAAUUAAAAAAAAAAGAUAAAGUGGUUUCCAGUGGACUUACAGCAGUCAUUGUUUUAUUUUAUUUUUUAAAUAUUUUAUUUAUUCAUGAGAGACACAGAGAGAGAGAGAGGCAGAGACACAGGCAGAAGGAGAAGCAGGCUCCCUGUGAGGAGCCCGAUGUGGGACUCGAUCCCAGAACUCCGGGAUCACUACCUGAGCCCAAGACAGAUGCUCAACCACUAAGCCACCCAGGCACCCCAAAGCAGUCAUUGUUUUAAAGUGACAAACCUAAGUACUCCAUACGUACACCUACACAAUCCUGGAGCUUGCUCAUUCACUUUCUUCAUCCAAAUAUGAUAUUAUGCUCCCUUGAUGAUGUGGUCUGUUACCCUUCACCCCACUAGACUGUAUCUUCUAUGAAAAGUGACCUGAGCCCUUUGUGUCCCUCCUGUAUUCCCUAUGUCUAGCAGAUAGCUACCUAGAAUAGAGGCCCAGUAAGUUGUUUUGUGGCUGGCACUGAUGUUUAAUCCUUCUAGCUACUAUCAUAUUCUUUAUCACUAGCAGAUCCCAAUUUUGUUCACUUUUUUUUGUGAAGUAUUCAAGGAAAGAGUUUCUUUCUACACCCGAGAGGUGAAUUUUAAUUAGUCUGAGACAAUCAUGGUAAUAUCAUCCCCCAUUCCACUGACAAUUAAUUUAAGAAUGGGUAUGUGAUUACUUCCAAGCAUGAGAAAUCCACCAGGGACUUUCCAGUGAUAGUUUUCCUUUCCUGACAAAAAGAUGUACAAGGAGGAAUGCCACUUUUCUGAGUCUUGAUGUGAUUGUCUGAGGAUGUGGUGUCUGGCACUGUGGCAGGACCUUGAAAACAUGCUGUCAUAGAGCAAGGGAUCACCAAAAAAAAAAAAAGGUAACUGGCUAAGGAUGGCAUUGCAGGAAGACAUAAAAUAUAUAGGCUCUUGAUGAAAUUAUAGGUACUGAAUUAACCAACCAGGAACUUCCCUACCAUCAGAAUUGUUGUUAUAUAAAGCACUAAAUUCCACGUUUUAAGCCACUUUUAUGUAUAUUAUGUUUUCUGCAGAUGAAAACAUCUUAACAGAUACAUUUAAGAAAAUGAAUGGAUGGAUGGAUGGAUGGAUGGAUGAGGUGUUGUUUCUUAUCAUGCUAUGCAAUUUUGUACUAUAUUUUGCUCAUUUGUAAAUGAGAAAGUUGAGAAUGUUCCCUCUUAUAACCUUGCCAUUUAUCAAUCUGCCUUUAAUCAACAAAUACAGAAUAUUAAAACUGCAAUUAGAACAGGACUUAGCUGAUGUUUUAUAAGUGAUGUACUUUCUAUCCUUCCAAGUUCCAUCCCUGGAUCACGUUAGAAAAUCAGAAAAUUGUGUAAAACAGGACAUCAGGUUAGCCAACAAAGGAAACUUGCCUUUGUUAAGAUUCAUUUUAAUAUUUUGCCCUUUUUUAAAAAUAAAAGUAAUUUUUUGCAAAAUGCAAUAGCAAAUUGUGCAUAUUGUUGGUAACACUGAAUAAUACAGUGAUUAUCAAACCCAAGGCUAGAUUCUCACCUGAGAUAAUUCUUUCGAUAUCAGUGCUACAAAAAGUAUAUUUCCUUCAAAAACAUCUUUCUUUUUACAAACAAAGAGAAGAAAACCUUAGAGACAAAUUUGAGACGGAAACAGCAGUUAUUUUGGCUUUUAUGAUCAGCAGACUGGUAUCCUCUUUUCCAAUUCUGUUUUGAUUUUACUAUUUUAUUAUUUUUAUUGUAAAAUACCUUAAAUAAACAGUUGGUGGGAAAGACAAUGUGUAGUACACACUUAAAUAAAAAUUUUAAUACUUACAAUAAUAUGUUUUAUUAAUGUUACUUUAUGUGGCUGGAUGGCUAAAGCAAACAUAAUGAGACAAAAUGAAUAUAGUUUAUAAGAGCUGAGGCAGAAAGCUACCUUUUUAACACCCAAAUACUUUCUUUAAUUUAGAGUCAAAAACGACAUUUUUUAUUACAAAAGUAAUAUUUUUUCAACAGGUUUUAAAUAACAAAAAUAGAAUAUAUUUUAAAGGAAAAAUCACAUGUACUCCAUUGGGCAAUAAUUUUAAUCAUUUUGUAUCCUUCCUAAUUUUAUUUAUACAUAUAUAACACAUCUAUAUGUUUAUUAAUGAAGUCAUGUAAACUGGCAUAAAUUGUUUUCUCACAUUCUUUACCACUUAUUUUUUUUUUCAUAUUUUAAAUAUACUUUGCUAAUAUGAUUUUAAUGACUAAAUAAUUUUCUUUUGGGGGCACUUUUUAACCAGUUUCUUAUGACUAUACUGAAUAAAAAGUAGACAGGUUUAGAGAAUUCAAUGUUUAAAAUAUACCAUGUAAAAAGAAAUAAAUAGAAGGAUAAAAUGAUACCAUGUAUUACCAACCCUUAAGAAGUAAAGAAAAUAAUAAUCUCCAGAAGUAAAGAGACUCAAGUGUUAAUUGGGUCGUCCAGAAAUAAAACUGAAAGAAUUAAUAUUUACCAUGUCAGUAAUAUUACAAAGUAACUUCUUUAUAGGAACUGAUUAAAUCUUACAGUAAAAUAUUCCUUUUUCAAAGAGAAAGACCAGAGAGCUGUAAAUAAAUAUCUUCCAACAUUAUAAGACCACCAUAGGCAUUUUAUCUCAUUAAAAU
This 5593-nucleotide long non-coding RNA is filed under the name Canis lupus familiaris (dog). RNAcentral's name for it is "lncRNA (ENSCAFG00040018390.1)". Lineage: Eukaryota; Metazoa; Chordata; Mammalia; Carnivora; Canidae. The record is from RNAcentral.